GCAUCAGUGCCGCAACUGGCAGACGGGGCCGGCUCAAAUCCGGUUUUCUAUGGGUUCGAAUCCCUUCUGGUACA
Molecule: transfer RNA, 74 nt
Filed under: Lachnospiraceae bacterium
Lineage: Bacteria; Bacillati; Bacillota; Clostridia; Lachnospirales; Lachnospiraceae
Description: tRNA-Leu
Rfam family: tRNA
About the family: Transfer RNA (tRNA) molecules are approximately 80 nucleotides in length. Their secondary structure includes four short double-helical elements and three loops (D, anti-codon, and T loops).
Source: RNAcentral